GUGAUUGCUUUAACACUGCAUAUACUAAAAUUGGAAUGAUACAGAAAAGAUUAGCAUGGCCCCAAUAUAAGGAGGACACGCAAAUAUAUGACAAAGGAGCCAAGAAUAU
RNAcentral lists this small nuclear RNA (109 nucleotides) under Ursus thibetanus thibetanus. Lineage: Eukaryota; Metazoa; Chordata; Mammalia; Carnivora; Ursidae. The record is from RNAcentral.